This is a long non-coding RNA of Homo sapiens (human), 2039 nucleotides long. Ensembl annotates it as SCN1A and SCN9A antisense RNA 1. Its record names the gene SCN1A-AS1. NCBI's taxonomy places the organism in Eukaryota, Metazoa, Chordata, Mammalia, Primates, Hominidae. The record is from Ensembl.
UUGCUAUCAGUAAAGUCCUGUACCAUGACACCUAAAAGGAAGGAAAUGGUAAAGCAAAGUAAUAACUCAAAGACAGUCACCGAGGGCUUUUGUCCACCUUUAACUCAUUGUGGAACUUGACAUCAUCAGACAGUAAAUCAAGAGGUACUGACAACUGAGACUGAGUGAUGGUCCCUGCCUAGGAUUUGGAAUCUUUGCAUGAAAUAGGGACUCUAGCCACCAGCGACAAAGAAGUCAGGGAGACUGCGGUCUCUAGGAAGCACUUCCAGGAAACAGGAAUUCAGGCAAAGUUGGACAUUCCAAAGAUGGCGUAGAUGAACAUGACCAGGAAGAGCAGGAGGCCGAUGUUAAACAACGCAGGAAGGGACAUCAUCAAAGCAAAGAGCAGCGUGCGGAUCCCCUUUGCUCCUUUGACUAGACGUAGGAUUCGGCCAAUCCUGGCAAGACGGAUCACUCGGAACAGGGUAGCAGAGAUCUCUGGAGGUGAAACAUUGCUCUGAACUGGCAUUGAUUCUAGCCCAGCUCUUGUAGACCAAUUACCAACUUCUCCAUCUCCCUCCAGUGCCUGGAACUGGACCUGGCACACAGGCAAAGGGUUAUCAACUGUGCUGCACUCUGAGGAGCUUGACCGGUUUAAUCUCUAGAAAGGAAUUCACCACCCCACCAGCCUUUAGACUAAAAAGAAAACAAAUAUUACAUACCCUGAAUCUGUGCUGAAACCACAAAGGAGAGCAUCUUUGGAUCCUUCCAAGUAAUAAAAAUAUUCUGUUGAAGAAGAAUUUGAACAGUUAUAACAUCACAGACUUUAAUCUGUGAUUGUGAUAAAGGAGGUCAAAUUAAAAAAUCUGAUUAUUGGGAGACUUUUGGAGUAAUCAUGGAAGAAAGACUAUGAAAUCAGAUAUUCUUGGAUUUGAAUGUUGCUUCUAUCCCUUCUUAAACAUUCCAUGCUGGAAAAAUCAGACCCCAGAGGUUUGCUGUUAUUGGAACACUGUGCUGCCUGAGAUUUUCAUAAAUUUGCCGUUUCAAAAAGCUGAAAGUACUUACGCAAAAACAAUGACGACAAAAUCCAGCCAGUUCCACGGGUCACGAAGAAAAGUGAAUUCUCCUACACAGAAGCCUCUUGCAAGGAUUUUUACAAGUGAUUCAAAAGUAUAUAUUCCAGUAAAAGUGUACCUAAACACAAGAUUCCAUUGGGAUACUAGAUGUGAAAAGAAUACAACCACCAUGUAAAUCUUUAUAACUUAUUUUCUCUAAUUAACCACUGGAAGACAUAUAUUGGAGGAUGGCUGUUGGGUUAUGGACACACCCUAUUAAACUACAAUAGGUCUAUCCAGAAAAUAUUAAAAUGUCAAUAUCAGAAACACUCCCAGAAAGCAGAGGUACUUGAAAUAACUAAGAAUAUAGGUCUCAGAUCUGCCUAAAAAUUUCCUACAUUGCUUCUAUCAAAAAUUCACCCAAUCAUUUAAAAAUACACCCAUAUAAUUAUAAAACAUACACCCAAGAAUAAAAUAUGUGUAACAUGUCUAAGAACAGGAUGGAGCAUCUGACAAGUUCAUUCUUUGAGAAAACACUGUAGCAUCUAAUUUUUCUAAUCUAGCAGGUUAAUAUCAUAGAGGAGGUAAAGAACAAAAGAAAAGCAAGCAUAUAACAUGGGAAGGUAAAGAUUCCCCAUCUUCAUAAAUGCAGUAACUUCCUGGCAGGAAAAGGAAAGGAUGAAAUGAUAAUACCAAAACUAUAUUAAAAUGUACUUAUACCCACUUACUCGACAUUUUUGGUCCAGUCCGGUGGGUUAUUCAUGGUCAUAAAUAUGCAGUUUGUCAGAAUAGUGCACAUGAUGAGCAUGCUGAAUAAGGUAGCUUAGAAUCAAGGAACAAAAGAGACGACAGUGGGAAUUUGAAAUAUUUGAGGAUGACACUUGUUGAAAUGCUUACAACUUUUCCUAAGAAAAAAAUUCUAAAUGAGCUUGUAGACUAUUUUGUCUCUUUGAACAAGAGAGUAAUAAAUAAAAGUAACAUAUCCUAAAAUCUUAAUAUUGCCAC